GGGCUGGGUUGAGAAACAGAAUCUUGGUCACCUUGACUGAGAUAUUAACAAACGUCCCCAAGUUUUUGGCCUGGGAAUUUCCUUAGGGUUUUUUUUAUUUUUAUUUGAUUUGAUUUUUAACGAAGCGCAGUGGCCUGAGGGCUGAGGUGGCCAAAGGCGUCUAAAGGAUUUAAACGCCUAAUUUAUUAUGUAUUAAGUGUAUUGUCUUGAGUGUCUUUUUUCUCAUUGGCUAUUUGAAUUUCAUUUCUAGGAGCCGAUAUUGUUCGGUAUAAAAAUAUGCUUGUUUGGUUUUGUCCAGGAGACAAAAUCCAGGUUGACAAAGGUUUGGUUUNGUCUCCCCUGGGAAGGGCCGUUGGGUUUUUAGAACAAUUGCGAAUGUCUUUUGUUCCAAGUGUGUCCGUCGGAACGUAGUGAGCUUGCCCGGGCGCUAGAUUUAGCGACGUUAUUUAUUUAUUUUUACGGUGCCAGCAAACAUAAAACUCUGUCAUGAAGGUGAUUGACUAAAUAGCGGUCGAUAUUAUUGAUCAGGUGUGUGACGGUCGUGCCCCAUCACACCAGGCCCUAUUGCACCAGGCGCCAUACGUUCGAGUGCCAUUUAUUAGGUGUAUUACGGUGUCAGCCAGAACCCCAGAUAGAGAGGGAGGCUGCCUGGGCCUCCGGACGCCUGGGUUCUAUUUCCGGCUCUGCCACAGACUUCCUGGGCCACGUUGGGCGAGUCGCACUCUGCCUCAGUUUCCCCAUUGGUACAAUGGGUCCGGGCCUGGAGGAGCGGUACCCAGGUGCCGCGGUGAUGGGCACCUUGGAGAGCUAGACAGUUUAGGGUCUCUGGGAAUCCCGGCUUGUUGGGGUCUCUGACCCUUGUGUUUCCCACCGUGCUCACUGGGUCUCCACGCUGGCGGGAGGGAGAGCGGGUGUGGGGGGGUGUUCUUCUUCCUACCUGCAGGGGGCGCAGUAAUGUCAUUGCUUCGGUGGCGGCAUCCUCUGGCGCCCCAGUGUUGAGCCUGAUGUUAGAGUCCAGGCAUCAUCAGCGCCUGUGACAUCACAGUCAUGGAUCAGCCUGGUCUCUGAUGUCACCGUCCCGGAAUCGCCCUCCCUGGUGACAUCACAGUCAUGGGAUCAGCCUGGUCUCUGAUGUCACCGUCCCGGAAUCGCCCUCCCUGGUGACAUCAGAGUCAUGGGAUCAGCCUGGUCUCUGAUGUCACCGUCCCAGAAUCGCCCUCCCUGGUGACAUCACAGUCAUGGGAUCAGCCUGGUCUCUGAUGUCACCGUCCCGGAAUC
This 1278-nucleotide long non-coding RNA is filed under the name Chrysemys picta bellii (western painted turtle). RNAcentral's name for it is "lncRNA (ENSCPBG00000019362.1)". The record is from RNAcentral. Lineage: Eukaryota; Metazoa; Chordata; Testudines; Emydidae.